GGCCAGACUCCUACGGGAGGCAGCAGUGAGGAAUAUUGGUCAAUGGCCGAGAGGCUGAACCAGCCAAGUCGCGUGAGGGAAUAAGGCCCUACGGGUCGUAAACCUCUUUUGCCGGGGAGCAAGGGCGGGGACGUGUCCCGGCCCGGAGAGUACCCGGAGAAAAAGCAUCGGCUAACUCCGUGCCAGCAGCCGCGGUAAUACGGAGGAUGCGAGCGUUAUCCGGAUUUAUUGGGUUUAAAGGGUGCGCAGGCGGAAUGUCAAGUCAGCGGUAAAAUUUCGGGGCUCAACCCCGUCGUGCCGUUGAAACUGGCGUUCUUGAGUGAGCGAGAAGUAUGCGGAAUGCGUGGUGUAGCGGUGAAAUGCAUAGAUAUCACGCAGAACUCCGAUUGCGAAGGCAGCAUACCGGCGCUCAACUGACGCUCAUGCACGAAAGCGUGGGUAUCGAACAGGAUUAGAUACCCCCGUAC
RNAcentral lists this ribosomal RNA (467 nucleotides) under uncultured bacterium. RNAcentral describes it as "bacterial SSU rRNA". It matches the Rfam family "Bacterial small subunit ribosomal RNA", at positions 329 to 793 of the family's 1533-position model. The record is from RNAcentral.